This 706-nucleotide long non-coding RNA is filed under the name Arachis ipaensis. RNAcentral's name for it is "long non-coding RNA (AIPA_LNC000866)". The record is from RNAcentral. Lineage: Eukaryota; Viridiplantae; Streptophyta; Magnoliopsida; Fabales; Fabaceae.
GUAGAUGCAAAAGCACCCUCCCUGAAGUGAUAAGCAUGUGCUACUAUUUUCUUUGGCCUUCUCUCUUUUAUGGUGGCAGACAUAAAUACUCAACAAAUAGAGAGUGCCAAAUAAGCUUUCUAUAUUCUAAUAUUCUCUACACCAACCAGCCCCAAUUGAUGUUUGGAUUCCCUCAAAGUGGCAAAGAAAGUUAUAAAGAUAAGGUGUUUCUCAAUGAGGAAUCAAGCACCAAUAGAAUGAAGAUUUGUCAGAUAAUAAUCUUUCUUUGAAAAUGCUGACUUUUCCUUUCUUGUUCUUCUUUUUUUCCUUCUUGUGUUGGUUGAUAAUAUAUCAAUAUCCUUCAAAAGCUUGCAAUUGCAAAGUGGUUUUGGACAUAUAAUAAAAAAAAGUUGCACUGUAUACUAACAACUGAUCCUCACAUUUAGGAAGGGUAAUCUGUUUUUAUCCCAAUUCUAUGGCUACACAAUUUUUCAUUUUUUGAUACGGGUUCUGCUACGUGUAAACUAAAAUCAGCCACCAAAGUCAGCCACUAGUAUAAAAUACAUGUUGGAAUAUAAAUACAUAUUGAAAAUAAAUUAAACCACACAUGUAUUUUAUAUAUAAAUAUAUUGGUGACUGAUUUUAGUGGCUAAUUUUAGUGUACAAAUAUCAUUUCCCUUUUGAUACUGUAGUUAUCGGUAAGGUUAUGUAUAAUCACGAAUUUUCU